Molecule: ribosomal RNA, 500 nt
Filed under: uncultured bacterium
Lineage: Bacteria
Description: partial 16S ribosomal RNA
Rfam family: Bacterial small subunit ribosomal RNA
Source: RNAcentral
AUUGAACGCUGGCGGAAUGCUUUACACAUGCAAGUCGAACGGCAGCACGGACUUCGGUCUGGUGGCGAGUGGCGAACGGGUGAGUAAUAUAUCGGAACGUAUCCAAUAAUGGGGGAUAACUAAUCGAAAGGUGGGCUAAUACCGCAUACGUCCUACGGGAGAAAGCUAGGGACCUUCGGGCCUGGCGUUAAUGGAGCGGCCGAUAUCGGAUUAGCUAGUUGGUGAGGUAAAGGCUCACCAAGGCGACGAUCCGUAGCUGGUCUGAGAGGACGACCAGCCACACUGGAACUGAGACACGGGCCAGACUCCUACGGGAGGCAGCAGUGGGGAAUUUUGGACAAUGGGCGAAAGCCUGAUCCAGCCAUUCCGCGUGAGUGAAGAAGGCCUUCGGGUUGUAAAGCUCUUUCGCAAGAGAAGAAAACUUACCCUCUAACAUAGGGUGAGGUUGACGGUAUCUUGAUAAGAAGCACCGGCUAACUACGUGCCAGCCGCCGCCGUAA